GGAAAGUUGCAAAGUACUUUGAAGAGAGAGUUCAAGAGGACGUGAAACCGAUAGGAUGGAAGCAGAUGAAGUUGACGAACGAGUGUCGUAUUCAGGGUUGCAUCUUGUGUGCGGUCUGUUCUUGCGACCGAUGUGGGCUGGCGGCUUUGGUCAAUGCACUGUGUCAAGUUUCGAUGGAGACCCUGCGGAGGGAUAAUCGGUCGUUGCACGAUACGUGGUAUGGCUAAGGCUUAUCGCCGGUCUUGAAGUCAGCGCCUCAUCUGACCCGUCUUGAAACACGGACCAAGGAGUGUAGCGUUUGCGCAAGUCUUAGAGUGUGUCAAAACUUUGAGGCGUAACGAAAGUAAAUGUAGUUUCGAUCUACUGACUUGGGAUGCGUUGUCUCGUGUGGACGGCGCUGGACCAUGGUUUUAUCGCGAUCGCUUGCGAUGCGGUGAAAAUAGAGCGUAAACGGUGCGACCCGAAA
RNAcentral lists this ribosomal RNA (466 nucleotides) under Steinernema sp. GDc328. Its description in RNAcentral is "partial 28S ribosomal RNA". It matches the Rfam family "Eukaryotic large subunit ribosomal RNA", at positions 358 to 821 of the family's 3401-position model. Lineage: Eukaryota; Metazoa; Nematoda; Chromadorea; Rhabditida; Steinernematidae. The record is from RNAcentral.